AACUCGGACCAAGGAGUCUAGCAUGUGCGCGAGUCAUUGGGAAUUACUAAACCUAAAGGCGCAAUGAAAGUGAAGGUCCGCCUUGCGCGGACCAAGGGAAGAUGGGCGCGUCCGGUGAUUACCACGGCCGCCCCGCACUCCCGGGGCGUCUCGUUCUCAUUGCGAGAAGAGGCGCACCAAGAGCGUACACGCUGGGACCCGAAAGAUGGUGAACUAUGCCUGGUCAGGACGAAGUCAGGGGAAACCCUGAUGGAGGUCCGUAGCGAUUCUGACGUGCAAAUCGAUCGUCGGAACUGGGUAUAGGGGCGAAAGACUAAUCGAACCAUCUAGUAGCUGGUUCCCUCCGAAGUUUCCCUCAGGAUAGCUGGCGCUCGUUGCAUACGAGUCUCAUCCGGUAAAGCGAAUGAUUAGAGGCAUUGGGGUCGAAACGGCCUCAACCUAUUCUCAAACUUUAAAUGGGUGAGAUCUCCGGCUUGCUCAAACAUUUUCUAAAUGAAGCCGUGAGACACGGAUCAGAGUGCCAAGUGGGCCAUUUUUGGUAAGCAGAACUGGCGCUGUGGGAUGAACCAAACGCCGAGUUAAAGCGCCUAAAUCGACGCUUAUGGGAUACCAUGAAAGGCGUUGGUAACUUAAGACAGCAGGACGGUGGCCAUGGAAGUCGGAAUCCG
RNAcentral lists this ribosomal RNA (668 nucleotides) under Tenerus sp. G0317. RNAcentral's name for it is "partial 28S large subunit ribosomal RNA". It matches the Rfam family "Eukaryotic large subunit ribosomal RNA", at positions 658 to 1270 of the family's 3401-position model. The record is from RNAcentral. Lineage: Eukaryota; Metazoa; Arthropoda; Insecta; Coleoptera; Cleridae.